Molecule: ribosomal RNA, 459 nt
Filed under: bacterium A3T_VP7_H12
Lineage: Bacteria
Description: bacterial SSU rRNA
Rfam family: Bacterial small subunit ribosomal RNA
Source: RNAcentral
UCCUAAAGGAGGCAGCAGUAGGGAAUCUUCCGCAAUGGACGAAAGUCUGACGGAGCAACGCCGCGUGAACGAUGAAGGCCUUCGGGUCGUAAAGUUCUGUUGUUAGGGAAGAACAAGUACCAGAGUAACUGCUGGUACCUUGACGGUACCUAACCAGAAAGCCACGGCUAACUACGUGCCAGCAGCCGCGGUAAUACGUAGGUGGCAAGCGUUGUCCGGAAUUAUUGGGCGUAAAGCGCGCGCAGGUGGUUUCUUAAGUCUGAUGUGAAAGCCCACGGCUCAACCGUGGAGGGUCAUUGGAAACUGGGGAACUUGAGUGCAGAAGAGGAAAGUGGAAUUCCAAGUGUAGCGGUGAAAUGCGUANAAAUUUGGAGGAACACCCGUGGCCGAAGGCGACUUUCUGGUCUGUAACUGACACUGAAGCGCCGAAGCGUGGGGAGCGAACCGGAUUAAAUACCC